GAACUGCGAUAAGUGAUGUGAAUUGCAGACGUAUACGAAUCAUCGAACCCUUGAACGCAUUCUGCGCCUCGAAGCUUGUCUUCGAGGCAUAUCUGGGUGAGUGUCGGUUUAACCUUCUUGCAUAUAAUUGCUUAUGCAGUCUUUGAUAGUAAAUCGUUAAGGUCUUCUAUUAAAAUAAAUCGAUACUCUGAUUAGAUUCUUCGGAAAUAGAGCAAUCCUCUUCUGAUUGGUUUGAAGUAACUCGUUACUAAUGGUCAUUCUGAAAUGGAUUGUAUUCUUAAUCUGGAAAAUCAUAGUCGAAUGGGUACAUGUUGGAUUAAGAAUCUACUUUUUAAUCAAACCAAACCUUCGACCUCACCUAGGUAAGAUUACCCGCUGAAUUUAA
RNAcentral lists this unclassified non-coding RNA (385 nucleotides) under uncultured fungus. Its description in RNAcentral is "sequence contains ITS1". The stretch from base 1 to 106 matches the Rfam family "5.8S ribosomal RNA", at positions 50 to 154 of the family's 154-position model. Lineage: Eukaryota; Fungi. The record is from RNAcentral.